GUCACUUUGGCAGCACAUAUACUAAGAUUGUAAUGAUACAGAGAAGAUUAGCAUGGCUCCUGUGUAAGAAUGACACACAAAUUCUUAAAGCAUUUUGUAUUUUU
Small nuclear RNA from Phyllostomus hastatus (greater spear-nosed bat), 104 nucleotides. NCBI's taxonomy places the organism in Eukaryota, Metazoa, Chordata, Mammalia, Chiroptera, Phyllostomidae. The record is from RefSeq and is a predicted model, not a curated record.